Molecule: long non-coding RNA, 5677 nt
Organism: Solenopsis invicta (red fire ant)
Lineage: Eukaryota; Metazoa; Arthropoda; Insecta; Hymenoptera; Formicidae
Exons: 3
Source: RefSeq, a predicted model, not a curated record
UAAAAAAUUAAACGGUUUUUUAAAUAAUUGUAAAAUAUUUAUAUCUUAAAUUUAGAUUUAUUUAAUUUUUAAUAAAUUAUUUAGAAAUUUUAUUUUGACAAAAUUGCUGCGUUCUAAUGUAUCAUCUUAGCGCAAUUAUUCAAAAUUUUUAUCAAUUUAUGAUAUUAUUGUACAAUAUUCACAUAAUGGGAGUAUAAUAAUGUAACUCAAAAAUUAUCAUUUCUGAAUUGUCUGUAAAAAUAUAUAUUCUGUAAAAAUAAAAAUAAUUCUGAUGAGAACUCAGUACACUGAAUAAAGAGCUAAUGUUUUUAUUCAAUCAGUACACCAAAUCGUUAUAUCAAAGCAUUCAAAAAUAUUAUGAAAUUUUUAUAGUUUAAAACAUUCAAAUUAGAAAACUUUUUAAAUUAUUGCGUUAAAUAAGCCUUACAAAAAGUACAUGCAACUUAGGCGUUGAUGGUCCGAAAUAACACUCAAAUUAAGUGUUAACUCCCAAAUAAAUUUUGAACUUGAGGGUUAACAUUCAAUUUGAGUGUCAUUUCGGAUCACUAACGCCUAGUUGAGUGUAUUUUUUUGUAAGGGAAGUAAUAUAAAUACAGAUAACAAGUAGUAAAUAUACAUAUGAACUAGUAAAAGAGCAACAUAGAAAAAGAUAUUAAGAAUACGAAGAUAUUUGGAAUAUAAAGAUUUGACUGUAAGUAGCAAUGACAGUAAAUUACAACUGCUUACAGUUGUACAGGAAAGUAACAAAAAGCCAAAGGUAAUCUAAGCGGAAAUUAUAAACCGUAUUCGCAUUCAAUAUUUCACAUUUUAAUACACAUUCAAAAUCAUAUGUACAAAAUAUACAUCACACAAUUUUUCUAAUGACAAAACUUACUACUUCAUAUCAAGUGCUAGAAAAUCAAUUUUUAGUCUUUUUAAUCUUUUAUUUUAUUUUUAGCACUAGACUCUGAUUAGAAUAUAAAUUUGAAUCCAAGGAGUAAACAUUGAAACUUUGCAAAAUUCAAGGAAUAUUAUAUAUAUGAAACUACAAUUUUAGAUAAUGCAUUUUAUAUUAUUUUAUAUAUGAAACAACUUUAUUGAACAAUGGAUAUUCACAUAAUUUUUAUAUAGAAUUACAAAUUGUUAACAAAAAAUUAUAUUUUAAAGCUUCUGACUAGUCGCCGCGACAAUUAAAAAUGUACCAUCAUAAGCAAAAAAUCACACAUAAGUUUCUUGCGUGCCAUUUGUAAAUAAAAAGAAUGUAACUAAAACAAAAUAAUAAGAUCGCUUUAAAACUUGUAAAAAUGGAUCUCAAUUAUUCUUUUUAAUCGUGACAGUCAGUAAAUAGUAUAAAAAGUGAAACCUAUUGAGACAGGAAAAUAUACGGUUAGGCUGAAAUUCUUACGUGCUAUUUAUAAAUAAAGAAAAUUUAAAUAAAAUAAUAAGAUCAUUUUAAAGCACUUGUAAAAUUGGUUUGACUCUUUCUUUUUCCGCCAAACAGUCACUAAAUUAGUCAUAAAAAGCACGAAAAGUGAAAUCUAUUCAAACAGGAAAACACGGACAACUGUUGAAAAGAGUGAUAAAUAUGUUUUUAUGUAUAAAAUUUAAAGAUAAUUUUACUUAAUAUUUUAAUGAAUUUGGUAAAUACGAGACAAGUCACAUUUGCACAAUGCGAAGCAUAUAAUAACGAAACGACAUGCAAGACAUUUCACGUUACAACAUGUCACGUUUCAUGCCUAUUAGUUUUAAUUUUUCCCAUGACACUAUGUCGCCACUAUCAACGCAGAGUUCUCGGCUGACUAGUCAAGAAUCUUAAUAUGUGUAUGAAACUUUUAUUAUUUUACUCAAAAAAAAAUGCUAGUAAUUUGUUAGUAAAUUAGUAACAAAUCAAUUUUGACUGCAGAUUUAUAGUUAUUUGUUCGAUCAGUUAAUUAACAUUUUUUUAACAAAACAUAUGAUAUGUCUAUUAACUAUGUUAGCAAAUUGUUAGCAUAAAUCAAACAAGAUCUACGCACACGAGCAAUUUAACAGAUUGCAGAAAUUGAACAGAAGCUACAAAUCCUAUUAGAUUUUUGCCACCAAUCUACUAAAAAUGUAUGUGAGCAGAUUCUGUCAUAUUUUUGACGGCAUUGCGUAAUCUGAUGUGUAGAGAGAGAUGGGAGAUCACUGGGAGAUUACUUGGUUGGAUUUUGUACAUUGUGCGUGCAUACGUGCGUGCGCGCAUACGCGUGUCUGUGCGUACGUAUAUAUUUUUGAAGUGUACAUACAUGUGUAUUUGUGAGACUUUAUAUAGAUGCACUUUUUUCUAUUAAAUUGAGAAGUUUUAUUCUAAACUUUUAACGCAGUGCCUCUUCUAAAUUUACCAUAGUCGUCGGCUAUCUUCGCUGAUUUCUCAAACGAUCUUCCAUUAAGGAUGCGCGAAGUAAUAUAUGUCGAAAAGGUAACAACACUUUUUACUAAAAAAAGUGUUUACAUAUACAUACAAACACAUAUACACUCCAUGCACGUACACGCACACACACAUACAUAUGAUGUGAAAUUCGACCGAGCAACCUUUUCAUAAUGCACAUCGGUUUACGCAAAUGCAGGUGAUAUCGUGUUAAAUUCAAAAAAAAACGGGAGACUUUAAAUUGUGACAUCUUGCUAACUAAUGAAUGUAGAGAAAAAUUUUUCUUUUUAUUUCAAAGAGCAAAUUUCAUUAUAUUUUGAGAUAUUAUCAAUGAUUAUGUUCGCUAAUUUUUUUUUAUAAGCAGUAGAGGACUACAAAUUUGCAGAUUUUUAUUAUCUCAAAUACAUCUUUAUUCAAAACCGACCACAUCUUUAAAUAAUAAACUGAAUAAAAAUUGAACUAAAUCACCUUAUAGUAGAGAGUUUACCCUGUAAAGCUCUUUAUUUGAUUUAUUUUUACGUUAUUUAUUAACUGAGUAAUUUAAAGUUUAAAACUGGGCAAAAAUUUACUGAAGAAAAGUUGUUCCCUGAUUUUUUUGAGCAGUGUAUACAUAAAUUUGCGUUUUAAUAUAAUGUAUAUUAUUCUAUUAAUAAAAUAGUUAGAUUAAAAUUAUUUCUUUAAAAUAAAAAUUAAAAAAUUAGAAACGUCAUUUUUAAACAUUUUUUUAGUAGCAAUAAAAACAUUUCAAAUAUCUGCAAAAUAGCAGGAUUUGCUCGAUUUCUUCUAUCAAUUUGCCAUUAGAUUAUACCCUCAGAUCUUCCUUGAUUUCAAUCGUCAAUUUGCCAAUCGGUUACGUCAACAAACUUUUCUUUUUAAUGAUCAUCUGCUGUCAUGUCAUAUUAGCAGAUUUUAUUCACAUAAUACACGUUUAUAGUGAACACAGGUACUGGAUUUGUUGUCAUUUUUUAAGCAAAUUUAUUGUGUAAUUUGACGACAAUUUGCUAUGAAUUUAUUCACUGGACAGAUAUUACAGACUCUGUGAAAUGUGUUGUAUUUCUGCCAUCAAAAAUUCGUAGCAUACUCUGUUUAAAAUCUGUCUCUACAGACUUUGCUAUCUGGGUUACUUAUCUAUAGUUAUUUAUAUUUUAUUAUAUAUAUGUCACACUAGAAUGAAUAUAAAAAUUAUAAUAUACGAUGCGAAUACAGUUUUAUGUAUACAUAAAUUUGAAUAUUCUUGGAAAACGAAGAAUUUUUCAAUCGAAUGCUAUUGUUAGUAUUUUUAGUUUUUAUGUUAUGUUUCAUUAGUAACAUGCGUAAUAUCAGUAUGUUGUAUCAUAAUUGUUACAUACGUUAUGCGAUCGCCCGUAUUGUGUUUGUAUUAUAUUAAUUAUUGUAUUAUUUUGGGAUUGUAUAUAUUUAAUAAUUAUUAUAAUAGCAAGAGAGAGGAAGUUUUUGUCCUGAAAUUCCUAUUAUUUUAUAAAUUAGAAGUUGAUUAAGUGCAUUUCCGGUAUUUAAGUAUUAAUUUCAAAAAAAGGUAUUAAGAUCGUGUAUUAUAAAAAAAUCAUUUAUAUAUACAUAACAUAUAAUGAGUGAAAACAUUGUGAGCUUAUUAUUAGAAUAAAAUUAUAUUCUUAUUGUACAUUUUUUAUCCUAUUUUUAUUCAGUUGACAUUCAAAAUAAAAAUAUUGUGCUUUUUAUUUCUCCUACGUAUUUAAAUGUAAAAUGGCGAGGUACAGUAGCGUAUAAAAGUAGUUUAUAUAGUAUUUAGCUGAUUCAUAUUUUAUCGUGUAUUAACUUUUAUGUUGCAUCUUUUUUUAAUAAAUUUUUGUAUUUCAAAAUUUUUAUAAAUAAUAUUUAAAUUUAGUUUAUCAUAAAUUGUCUAUGCAUUUAUUCAUUUCAUCCAUAUUAUUAAAACAAUACAUAUGUUUGCGUUCACACAUACACACACGUGGUUUGUUCAGAUUUUCUCUCCCUCCCCUCUCUCUCUCUCUCUCUCUCUUCCUCUCCCUCUCUCUGAGUAUCUCAGAUUUCUCAGGGAGAAAUGAUAAGUCAGAUCGGCAUCAAAUUAAUAUCAUUUUGACGAUUAAAAUCAAAUUUGACAUCUACAUCGAUGUUAAAAUGUUCGAAUUUUGAUGCUAUUUAAAUAUUAAUAUCGACAUCGAAUUAAUAUCGAUUCGGCACCCUAACAGCACAACUAUCUAUAUGUCGACUGUAAGUCGACUUUUGCGAGUCAGGCUUUCAGUAGUUGACUGCAAGACGACUUUGCAUAGACGUCUGCAGACGUCUUUCAAAAGUUGACUUUAAGACGUCUAGAAAAAGACAUUUUGAAAUCGACUGGACUGAGCGCCACUGCAGUGAGCAAACACCGCUGUCACCGAUGCUGCGUGACAGCGUCGAGCGGGAGUCAUCAAGUUUCUCGCGAGAGUCAAGCCGCGUUGUUGUAAGUUGUAAUCCUAGUCAUCUGUCGGCUCUUUUGCUUAUUAAAUAAAGACUAUUAAUUUCAGCCGUUCGGACAUCCAGAGUUCUCUUGUACUCUCCGCUAUUUUCUAUUAUCUAUCGCAGCGUGUGCAGCCAUACCGGUCAUGUACGGCAAUUGCCAUUGUGAGCUGUUGUUGAGGGACAGUCGAGUCGUGAAGUGGGACUAUGUUUCGAGAUCAGUGGUGUCGAAGCAGUUAAAAACACUGGAGAUAUGUGUAUCGAGAUUUCUCUGCCAAAGCAUUUCCAAUCCAUGGUAUUUAUGUCGCUGUCGAGGUUGAGUAGCACGAAAACUGGCAGAGUCAUAAAGAACUUUACGUGACGGAGAAAAGAAGCUACAACUGAACGUAUUUACUACAAAAAAGAACACAAUUAAAGAAUGUACCAGCAAUCAAGAUAAACAAAUUAUCCCUCAAUAUCUUGCGUAAAACAAAGUGACAUUCUUCAUUCAUUAGAGAUUCGAGUUGCAGAAUGCGAAAUGAAGAAGAAUAUUUUAUCUAUGAUACGUAUGGACUGGACCCCUUUGCAGCACCCCUUUGCAACAAAGAAUCCAUUUCUUAAAAUGUUAGCUAAGUUCUAUAAUUUAUAUAGAAGGAACAUUUUACAUUGGGGCGGAUCCCGAUAGCGCACGGGACCGAUAGCACACCACCACUCACAGCGGCCGAUGCCUAGAGUUUUUCCGUUGGUUAGAUAAGUCAAGAUAAUUGGUUGGUGGGCUAUCGCACCGUGCGCUAUCGGAUCCGGUUCUUUUCAUUGACAUUGUAUAAAUUUAGAAUCUAUACAUGUAUACAGGGUAUUUAACGAGAGGUGAGAAAUAAAGGUUUUUUUUUCUUA